RNA transcript from Zingiber officinale, 2737 nucleotides. It is a transcript of the gene named probable DEAD-box ATP-dependent RNA helicase 48, with no coding region annotated. The transcript has 11 exons. NCBI's taxonomy places the organism in Eukaryota, Viridiplantae, Streptophyta, Magnoliopsida, Zingiberales, Zingiberaceae. The record is from RefSeq and is a predicted model, not a curated record.
ACUUAAGCCCCAAACCCCUCCUUCUCGUCACAUGCGCUAAGCCGCCUUCCUCACUACCAUGGCGUCGUCCGGCGUCCUUCGGGAACGCUCAGGAACACUUCACAAGCUGCUCGCUGGCCUCAUGUUUCAUCGCUCCAUGGGAGGCGGCCCGCGGACCUUCCCCGGUGGCCUCAACAAGUGGCAAUACAAGCGGAUGCACGAGAAGAUGGCCAUGGAUAAGGAACGCCGCCUCCUCGGGCAGGAGAAGCAGAUCUAUCAGGCCCGUCUCCGCUCCGAGAUACGCGCUAAGCGCGCCGGGAAAUCGUCCAGCGACCUUGCUGACUCGGGCGCCGCCAUGACAUCCAAAGCGCAAGUGAAAGCCCUCGCCGACCGGUUCAUGAAGGAGGGAGCUGAAGACCUCUGGAACGAGGACGAUGGCCCUAUCCGCUCCCGUACUCGUCAGUCCCGUGCUGUGAAUUCCCUACCGCCUCAUGAUUUGAGGAAGCUCAUGGCCGGGCGGAAAAAUCUGAUAGAGAGUCAGGUCGGUCGGGUUGAUACUUUUGGUCAGCGAAGAGAGUAUUCGACGAUUUCCAAAAGGGGGUCCGGGAUGAGAUCGAAGACGAGGUGGAGGAGGAACUCAUCAAGCGAGGAGGACUCGGAAUCUGAGGAGGGGGUUAAGGCAUUUCGAGGUACAAAUAUGGGUACUCGGACUGGCUUACAGAUGUUUCCAAGAUUGAACAUUGCAAAUGAGGGGGAAUCAGAAGAAGAAUCAGAUAUGAUAACUGGCGCUAGUUCAAGAAUUAGGUUUUCAAACAAGGCUGCUUUGAGGAACUUUGAUACAAAAGCUCCAAAGAGGUUGCCUAAGAGCAUGGUAGGACAUGAUGAUCUUUCUAAUGAGAUCCAAGAAAUACGCAACGAGUUGCGAGCGAAGAAGGCUGUUGUAAAUGUAACAACACAUGCCAAUGCGGACCACGAAACAAUUAUAACUAACAAAAGAUUUGCUGAUUCUGGUAUCUCUCCACUGACAAUCAAGGCACUUACUGAUGCUCGAUAUAUACAAAUGACUGUUGUCCAAGAUGCAGCACUUCCAGUCUGUCUUGAUGGUAAAGAUGCUCUAGUGAAAGCAAAAACAGGGACAGGCAAAAGUGUUGCCUUUCUGAUUCCUGCAAUUGAAACAGUCAUCAAGGCAAUGCAUGGUAACAUGAACCAACGCAUACCUCAAACUCAUGCACUUAUCCUUUGUCCCACAAGGGAGCUUGCCAUUCAAGUUGCAGCUGAGGCAAAUGCUUUAUUAAGACACCACGAUGGAAUUGGUGUUCAAACACUUAUUGGAGGCGUUAGAUUUAAGAUGGAUCAGAAGCGGCUUGAAUCAAAUCCUUGCCAGAUUAUUGUAGCAACCCCUGGCAGGCUACUGGAUCACAUAGAAAACAGAUCUGGUUUUUCUAUACGUUUGAUGGGUUUGAAAAUGCUUGUACUUGAUGAAGCUGAUCACUUGUUAGACUUAGGAUUUCGGAAGGACAUAGAAAAGAUUGUUGACUCCGUGCCACGCCAGCGUCAGUCCCUAUUGUUUUCUGCUACUAUUCCUAAAGAGGUUCGGCGGGUAUCACAGCUUGUCCUGAAGAGGGAUCAUAUCUUUGUUGAUACAGUUGGCUUGGGUGGUGUGGAAACACAUGAAAAGGUUCUGCAGUCAUAUAUUAUUGCACCACAUCAGGUGCAUUUUCACUUGGUUUAUCAUAUUUUGAAGGAGCACUUGCAGCAAGAGUCUGAUUACAAGGUUAUUGUGUUUUGCACAACUGCUAUGGUUACAGCUUUUCUGUAUGUUAUUCUUCGAGACUUGAAGAUGAAUGUCCGGGAAAUACAUUCUAGAAAACCACAACUUUAUCGAACCCGUAUCUCUGAUGAGUUUCGUGAAUCAAAGUGCAUAAUUCUUGUGACUUCAGACGUUUCUGCUCGUGGGAUGGAUUAUCCAGAUGUCACUUUGGUCAUUCAGGUUGGCAUUCCUCCUGAUCGAGAACAAUACAUACAUCGGCUCGGAAGGACAGGACGUGAAGGCAAAAGUGGGAAGGGCAUUUUGGUACUUGCACCGUGGGAAGCAUAUUUUAUGGAUCAGAUAAAAGAUCUCCCAAUUCAGAAGUGUCACCUUCCAGAUCUUGAUCCAGUCACAAGACAAAAGGUUGAAGAUUCCAUUGGAAAAGUCGAUUCAAGCAUUAAGGAAGGAGCAUAUCAUGCAUGGCUUGGAUAUUACAAUUCCAUUAGAGAUAUAGGAAGAGACAAAACUACGCUGGCUGAAUUGGCAAACCAAUUUUGUCACUCGAUUGGUUUGGAGGAAACCCCAGCACUUUUCAGGAAGACAGCUUUGAAAAUGGGACUGAAGGAUAUUCCUGGUAUUCGAAUUCGCAAGUAAUUUAACAAAAGCAACAAUCCACUUUCACUUUGGAGCUUCGAGCUUCUUCCAACCUAGCAGCAAGCCCUGCGCCUACAUGUGACGAGCAACAAACUAGACGAAUAAUGCAGAUGAAUGUGACUGCCUUUGUGUAGCGAGUAAUCCUUAUUUGCAACGAGUUCGGACAGUAUGCAACAACCCAUGCAGCCUGCGCGAUUAUUUAAUGAAUUCUUGGAUUCUAUUGCUCGUCAAAAUUCUGUUAUAGCUAGCUCUAGGUCAAGUGGGUUAUAUUUUUAUAACUAGAAUUUACAAUUAAAAAAAAGUUAAGACUGUAUAUGUAAUAUGUAUAAGUUAAAUACUUUCAUUUUUGUUACA